Long non-coding RNA from Triticum aestivum (bread wheat), 649 nucleotides. RefSeq lists it as uncharacterized. Lineage: Eukaryota; Viridiplantae; Streptophyta; Magnoliopsida; Poales; Poaceae. The record is from RefSeq and is a predicted model, not a curated record. The transcript is spliced from 3 exons.
AGAUCAUGUCCCCAUGACUGAGGAAGAAGAAUAUGAUGGAGGUAGCACAAGUGAGGAUGAGAUCAUAUCCAUGUGCCGCAACAAUUUGGUGUAGUCCGAGAAUUUAAUCUUGAAGUUGGUUCCUAUCUUGGGCACAAUGAAACCAGUCAGAAUGUGCUUGCUGUUUGUGAUUUCGACAUGAGAUUUACAUUUGUGAUGUCGGGAUGGCCUGGUUCAGCACAUGACAUGAGAGUUUUCAAAGACGCCGUAACUACUCAUCAAGACAAAUUUCCACAUCCACCACCAGGGAAGUAUUAUGUGGUUGAUGCGGGAUACCCAAACCGGCCAGGCUACCUUUCACCAUACAGAUGUACAAGGUACCAUGUGCAACAAUGGCAAAAUGGCCCGCCGCCACAAGGUAUGAAAGAAACCUUCAACCAUGCACAUGCCAAAGUUAGGAAUGUCGUUGAGCGAUCCUUUGGAGUGUUGAAGAUGAAAUUUAGGAUUUUAUUGAACAUGCCAAAAUUUCCAGAGGACAAGCAAAGUAGAAUUAUUGUUGCCUGUAUGGCUCUUCAUAAUUUCAUUCGAGAGAGCAGAAUUGCGGAUAGGGAAUUUGAUGCUUGUGAUGCAGAUGAAAAUUAUAACCCAAUGCCUAGUUCUUCUGCAUCCG